Molecule: ribosomal RNA, 253 nt
Filed under: uncultured bacterium
Lineage: Bacteria
Description: partial 16S ribosomal RNA
Rfam family: Bacterial small subunit ribosomal RNA
Source: RNAcentral
UACGUGGGGGGUAAGCGUUGUUCGGAAUUACUGGGCGUAAAGGGCUCGUAGGCGGCCCACUAAGUCAUCCGUGAAAUCCCUCAGCUUAACUGGGGAACUGCGUGUGAUACUGGAUGGCUUGGAUUUGGGAGAGGGAUGCGGAAUUCCAGGUGUAGCGGUGAAAUGCGUAGAUAUCUGGAGGAACACCGGUGGCGAAGGCGGCAUCCUGGACCAAUAUUGACGCUGAGGAGCGAAAGCCAGGGGAGCAAACGGG